Molecule: long non-coding RNA, 1681 nt
Filed under: Thrips palmi
Lineage: Eukaryota; Metazoa; Arthropoda; Insecta; Thysanoptera; Thripidae
Description: uncharacterized LOC117644995, transcript variant X1
Source: RNAcentral
GAUGUGCACUCUAAAAGUCUUAUGUGCAGUCGAGAGAAGUCAGCUGUGCUGUUGACAGUUGGGACGUACUUCGACAGGCAUUCCGUAAUUAGCAGCGAUUUGGUGCUCAGUCCCGUUCAGCGCGAUGAGGUUCUUCGUGUCCGUUGCACUGCUGCUCGUCCUCUGCAUCGUGGUGAACCGCCAAGUCGCGGCGCUCCCUGGCGGACCAGCGCCCGGAAAUGCCUCCGUGCCAGCCGUGAGGGAGAGAGAAGCCGAGGUCUGCGAUCCUACCCAGAAGCAGUGUGGCCCGUACUGCUGCAAUAGUUAUCAAAUCUGUUUGAAGCUACCCUGCAUCGUUGUACCCGAUUGCCUCCUUAUAUCCAUCUGCAUUGGCUGAGCUUACGGGGCAUUUUACUCGUGACUUGUGGCGGGAGGCAGAAACAGAAGUGAGAAUUUACCGCCGAUCUUGGUUCGACAGAAGUAUUAAAAUUUCACUGGGUGUUUUCCAAAAUGCAUUUGCUUGCGUGGCAGCGUGAUUCUCCCAAGCGCUCACACCAAGUGCAAAUUUGUAAUGUUUAAACAAAUGUUCAAAACACUCUUAUUUACGCUUUGUAAGUUUCCGCUGAAGUGGUUCAAGUAGGUAAAGGGUUCCAAGCUUUCAUGAGGUCUGGUCUCAAUCUUUGUCAAAGAAACUUUGUGCGUUUGCUGUAGCUGUAAUAAAAUGGAAAAGUGACUGUUACACCACUGAGAAACCAAACGCUAUGAAUAAUUGGUGCAAUGCUUGGGCAUUGCACAUGAAAUGCAAUGGCGUAGGUACCUCAAGCAUGCAUAAGCAUAGGGCAGUUUCGGGAUGCAUUGCACGUAUGGUGCCAUAUCUCAGUGCAUUGCACCAUGCGUGCUAUUUCAUAGCGUUUGGAAUCUCAGUGAUGCCACCCAGCACGUCCGGCAACCAAAAAAUGAAUAUUUAAUGUACCCAAAACCCUUUAUCUCCAGAAAAAAAUUUGUGUUCAAAUGAUGUUUAACCUAACCUGACAUAUUCGGCCUUAAAACGCAUGCACAAUUUUGAGCAAAGCAAAGGCACGAAAAACUAAGUAAUAAAGUGUGUAAGGGUGGUUUCAUCGCCCAAAUUUAAGCAAUGAAGGAUGCAUCGGUUUAUCUUCAAACCGCAUGUUAAAAUGAGCAAUAGUAAAGAAACUCGCGCUGCUCGCUGGGGGCUCCGCCCCCAGACCCCCGCAUGUGUGGGGCGCGUACCGAAGUAUUUUUACUAAGUCCGUGGUGACCAAAGGGAAAUUUUCUAAUGAAGUAACUGUACUGCUUUUUGGAAGGGUCUAUUUAACUGCUUUUGACCAUUAAUUUUUAAGGUACUAUUACUGCCCAAAUAGAUAGCUUGUAUUGUAUUGGCUACUGUGGCAGUCAACGGCAUUCAAGGUCCGGAAAAUAUUGAAGACUGCUUUGACAAGAAUAAGAUCUGUGUUCAUUAUGGUCAAUGUGACCGAAGGCCAAACUAAUGGGCCUCUUUUGCGUCUUUCAUUUCUGAUUUCUCCGGCAAUAUAUUACAUGGCUUUUACUGCUCGGAAACGGUUGUAUUUUGUUCAAUUUAGGCCUAUUUCAUCGUUUUGAGGAUGUUGCCGGUGACGGGAACCCGAUUGCGGCACAGUUUCGGAAAUGUCACGACCAGACCUACCGAUGGGGCGAAUAAAAU